Molecule: ribosomal RNA, 253 nt
Filed under: uncultured bacterium
Lineage: Bacteria
Description: partial 16S ribosomal RNA
Rfam family: Bacterial small subunit ribosomal RNA
Source: RNAcentral
GACAGAGGGGGCAAGCGUUGCUCGGAAUCACUGGGCGUAAAGGGCGCGUAGGCGGCCUGCUAAGUCGAACGUGAAAUCCCUGGGCUCAACCCAGGAACUGCGUCCGAUACUGGUUGGCUUGAAUCCGGGAGAGGGAUGUGGAAUUCCAGGUGUAGCGGUGAAAUGCGUAGAUAUCUGGAGGAACACCGGUGGCGAAGGCGGGACUCUGGGCCGAUACUGACGCUGAGGAGCGAAAGCGUGGGGAGCAAACAGG